CCACACCUCGGCAUCAUGGAAGUUCCCAGGCCAAGGGUCAAAAGAGAACUACAAUGGCCAGCCUGUGCCACAGCAAUGCUGGAUCUGAGCCGCAUCUGCCACCUACAUGCGGGAGCUUAAGGCAGUGAUCCUUAACCCACUGAGUGAGGCCAGGGAUUAAACCCACAUCGUCACGGACUCUAUGUCGUGUUCUUAACUCGAUGAGCCACAACGGGAACUCCAGAACUCCUGAAUUUUAAAUUUACUACAUUCUAAAGCUACAAAUCAUGUAUCACACUUUAAGCAUCCACAUCCAAACAACUCACCCUCCAUCUUGAUCCAGUUUCCCCUCUCUACCUGCACUACCAGGUGUUCCCAUUUCAUUAUUUAUCUCCCUCUUUCUUUCCCUAUAUCUCCUUCUUUUUGUUUUUGUUUUGUUGUUGCCGGCUUUUUGUGGUUUGUUUGUCUGCUUCUUAGGGCUGAACCUGUAGCAUAUGCAAGUUUCCAGGCUAGGGAUUCAACUGGAACUGCAGCUGCCAGACUACACCUCAGCCGUAGCAACAUGGAUUGCAGCCACAUCUUCGACCUACACCACAGCUCAUGGCAAUGCUAAAUUCUUAACCCAGUGGGCGAGGCCAGGGAUUGAACCCACAUCCUCAUGGAUAUUAGUUGUGUUCCCUAACCCACUGAGCUACAAGAGGAACUCCCUGAGAACUCCCGUUUUUUUUUAUUUUAUGGCCCAAAACAUGGCAUGUGGAAGUUCCCAGGGCCUGGAAACUGGGAACUGGAGCCACAGCAAGACCAAUGUGCCCUGGGCUGUGGAUCAAACCCACACCUCUUCAGUGACCCAAGCCACUGCGCCCUACUAUUCUCAUGGUGCACCUGCCAGCAACCUAUUUCUUUCUUCUUCUUCUUUUUUUUUUUUUAGGGCUGCACCUGCGGCAUAUGGAGGGUCCCAGGCUAGGGGUGGAAUCAGAACUGUAGCUGCCAGCCUACACCAGACACAGUAACGCAGGAUCCGAGGCGCGUCUGUGACCUACACCACAGCUCAUGGCAACGUCAGAUCCUUAACCCACUGAGCAAGGCCAGGGAUGGAAUCCAUGUCCUCAUGGAUCCUAGUCAGGGGUUUGUUAACCACUGAGCCACGAUGGAAACUCCUGGCCUCCUAUUUCUUCUCUUUCUUUUUUGUCUUUUUAGGGCCACAUCCGAGGCACAUGGAGGUUGAAUUGGAGCUGUAGCCGCUGGUCUACACCACAGCCGCAACAACACCAGAUCCCAGCCACGUCUGUGACCUACACAGACUACAGAGACCACAGCUCACGGCAAUGCCGGAUCCUUAACCCACCUAGGGAGGCCAGGGGUCGAACCUGCGCUGGCAUGGAUUCUAGUCAGAUUCGUUUCUGCUGAGCCAGGAGGAGAACUCCCUGGCCUCCUGUUUCUUAUCUCUCAUCCAUCCUGCCCUACUCUGCAAGUAGACUCCCCACUUGUUCUUCCCCCAGCCUUUCUAAUUGUCUUAAAUAUCCAUAUAGUUCUGCCCCCUUCACACAACUCUACACUCUCUCUGUCCCCAGGGUUACACCACCCACCCCUUCUGUCCCUGUUACACUCCCUCCCCCACUCCCUGGCACCCCAAGUGGCUCUGCUUUCUUCCUGCUCUGUCUCUUCCUCUGCUAGUCACAAGUUGUCAUCUGUUUCUCUCCCAGAACAAGGAGACUCUGAAUUUCCUGUAGUUCCCACUGUUUAUUACCCUCCACCUCCGCCGCUCUCCCUGCUAAGUGCCUCAACACAGCCGCCACCCCUCCCAUCACUGCACUGCUACACUCUCCCAGUGUUGCUUUCCAACCCCUGAAGAUCCGGCUUUUUAUUACUUCUGGAGUACACGCACCUGCUAAUUUCAAGGCCUACUGUAUUUCAUUUGCUGCCUUAUAAAUCCCUUAGCCAUCCUCUACGUGUCCAUCCGUCCUAUCUUAUUAUUUUCUCCUCAACUUUUCUGUGUUUGGCUCAUCUUUUUUUUGGGCGGGGGGGGCGCCCACGGCAGGUUGAAGUUCCCUGGCCAGGGAUGGAACCAGAACCACAGCAGCGACGCGAACCGCUGCUGUGGGUCCUGACACCGAUGCGCCACAAUGUCAUUCCCAUGUCUCUGCCUCUCCUCAUGCCCCUCACACAAGUAUUUACAGGGAUGGAGACUAAAUAAGAUGCCCGCCAACCGGAAGAGAACAUAUUUCAUCCGGUGGACUUUGAGACGGAAGAACGCUGGGUGUCACACGGUGGACGAGGUCACCUCCCCCUACGCCGGGUGCGGGGAAGGGCUGACUACACACGUGAGGCCUGCGGGGCAGAAGGACCGGCCGGAGGGGCCGCGAGGACAGAGGGGCUGCAGGGAGGGUGGUCUCAGGAGAGGGGGGCUCCCGAAUCCCAGCACCGGGGCGAGGACGCGGCCUCUCCGGGAGCGGGGCGGCCGGCGCUGCCUCCAGUUGGGGGAGCGAGGUGGGGGCGCGGGUCCUCCUCGGGGAAGAGCACUUUACAUGGCGGGGCGGAGGCAGGAAAGGAAUCUAAGCAGGAAAACGCCGCCAAAGGCUGCGUCUACGUGUACUGAAGGCAGAAAAGCCGGGGGCUCCAGGAUCAGGCACAGAGCGAUUUCGAACUCUAAGGAAAACAAACCCGACCUAUAACGGCGACGUAUUGACUAACUUGGGACGGAGGGCCGGGUGCUGGGAUUUUAGGGCCGUCGUGACCCCCACACCCAAAGGAUGGGGUUAGAGGGACGGCACAUCACAGAGUUACACUAUAAAGGAGAAACUUACUCUCAGCAGGGUGACCUUCACGCCGCGCUCUCCGCUUCCGCU
Molecule: long non-coding RNA, 2825 nt
Filed under: Sus scrofa (pig)
Lineage: Eukaryota; Metazoa; Chordata; Mammalia; Artiodactyla; Suidae
Description: lncRNA (ENSSSCG00045029707.1)
Source: RNAcentral